CACCGCCCGUCACACCAUGGGAGUUGGUUUCACCCGAAGGCUAGUGCGCUAACCGCAAGGAGGCAGCUGACCACGGUGGGAUCAGCGACUGGGGUG
RNAcentral lists this ribosomal RNA (96 nucleotides) under uncultured bacterium. Its description in RNAcentral is "partial 16S ribosomal RNA". It matches the Rfam family "Bacterial small subunit ribosomal RNA", at positions 1388 to 1482 of the family's 1533-position model. The record is from RNAcentral.